RNAcentral lists this ribosomal RNA (199 nucleotides) under uncultured bacterium. RNAcentral's name for it is "partial 16S ribosomal RNA". It matches the Rfam family "Bacterial small subunit ribosomal RNA", at positions 335 to 526 of the family's 1533-position model. The record is from RNAcentral.
ACUCCUACGGGAGGCAGCAGUGGGGAAUAUUGGACAAUGGGCGCAAGCCUGAUCCAGCCAUGCCGCGUGUGUGAAGAAGGCCUUCGGGUUGUAAAGCACUUUCAGCGAGGAGGAAGGGUUGUGUGUUAAUAGCGCAUAACUUUGACGUUACUCGCAGAAGAAGCACCGGCUAACUCUGUGCCAGCAGCCGCGGUAAUAC